CCGACCUUAGCUCAGUUGGAAGAGCGUCAGACUGUAAUUGGAUAACUUGAUUUUCAUCUGAAUGUCGCCUGUUCGAACCAGGCAGGUCGGA
Molecule: transfer RNA, 91 nt
Filed under: Agaricus bisporus var. burnettii
Lineage: Eukaryota; Fungi; Basidiomycota; Agaricomycetes; Agaricales; Agaricaceae
Also listed under: 2 other names
Rfam family: tRNA
About the family: Transfer RNA (tRNA) molecules are approximately 80 nucleotides in length.
Source: Rfam by way of RNAcentral